RNAcentral lists this ribosomal RNA (538 nucleotides) under Echinodera hypocrita. Its description in RNAcentral is "partial 16S ribosomal RNA". It matches the Rfam family "Bacterial large subunit ribosomal RNA", at positions 1819 to 2625 of the family's 2925-position model. Lineage: Eukaryota; Metazoa; Arthropoda; Insecta; Coleoptera; Curculionidae. The record is from RNAcentral.
GGCUUUUUGAUAAUAAUUUAAGGUCUGACCUGCCCAAUGAUUUAAAUAUUUAAUGGCCGCGGUAUAUUGACCGUGCAAAGGUAGCAUAAUCAUUAGUUUUUUAAUUGAAAGCUUGUAUGAAAGGUUUGAUGAAAAAAUAACUGUCUUUAUUUAAGUUUGUUAGAAAUUUAUUUUUAAGUUAAAAAGCUUAAAUAUUUAUUAAAGACGAGAAGACCCUAUAGAGUUUUAUAUUUCUGUAUAAUUAUUAUAUUUAGGAUUUUUUAAUAGUUUUAAUAGGAUUAUUUGGUUGGGGUGAUUAAAAAAUUAAUUAAACUUUUUUAUUUUGAUUUACAUUGAUUUAUGGAUUUUUGAUCUUUAUAAAAGAUUAAUAGAUAAAAUUACCUUAGGGAUAACAGCGUAAUUUUUUUUAGAGUUCUUAUCGAAAAAAAAGAUUGCGACCUCGAUGUUGGAUUAAAAUUAAUUAUUGGUGUAGAAGCUAAUAAAUUAGGUCUGUUCGACCUUUAAAUUUUUACAUGAUCUGAGUUUAAACCGGUGUAAG